RNAcentral lists this ribosomal RNA (1373 nucleotides) under uncultured bacterium. RNAcentral describes it as "bacterial SSU rRNA". It matches the Rfam family "Bacterial small subunit ribosomal RNA", at positions 28 to 1381 of the family's 1533-position model. The record is from RNAcentral.
GAUAAACGCUGGCGGCGUGCCUAAUACAUGCAAGUCGAGCGAACGGACGAGAAGCUUGCUUCUCUGAUGUUAGCGGCGGACGGGUGAGUAACACGUGGAUAACCUACCUAUAAGACUGGGAUAACUUCGGGAAACCGGAGCUAAUACCGGAUAAUAUUUUGAACCGCAUGGUUCAAAAGUGAAAGACGGUCUUGCUGUCACUUAUAGAUGGAUCCGCGCUGCAUUAGCUAGUUGGUAAGGUAACGGCUUACCAAGGCAACGAUGCAUAGCCGACCUGAGAGGGUGAUCGGCCACACUGGAACUGAGACACGGUCCAGACUCCUACGGGAGGCAGCAGUAGGGAAUCUUCCGCAAUGGGCGAAAGCCUGACGGAGCAACGCCGCGUGAGUGAUGAAGGUCUUCGGAUCGUAAAACUCUGUUAUUAGGGAAGAACAUAUGUGUAAGUAACUGUGCACAUCUUGACGGUACCUAAUCAGAAAGCCACGGCUAACUACGUGCCAGCAGCCGCGGUAAUACGUAGGUGGCAAGCGUUAUCCGGAAUUAUUGGGCGUNAAGCGCGCGUAGGCGGUUUUUUAAGUCUGAUGUGAAAGCCCACGGGCUCAACCGUGGAGGGUCAUUGGAAACUGGAAAACUUGAGUGCAGAAGAGGAAAGUGGAAUUCCAUGUGUAGCGGUGAAAUGCGCAGAGAUAUGGAGGAACACCAGUGGCGAAGGCGACUUUCUGGUCUGUAACUGACGCUGAUGUGCGAAAGCGUGGGGAUCAAACAGGAUUAGAUACCCUGGUAGUCCACGCCGUAAACGAUGAGUGCUAAGUGUUAGGGGGUUUCCGCCCCUUAGUGCUGCAGCUAACGCAUUAAGCACUCCGCCUGGGGAGUACGACCGCAAGGUUGAAACUCAAAGGAAUUGACGGGGACCCGCACAAGCGGUGGAGCAUGUGGUUUAAUUCGAAGCAACGCGAAGAACCUUACCAAAUCUUGACAUCCUUUGACAACUCUAGAGAUAGAGCCUUCCCCUUCGGGGGACAAAGUGACAGGUGGUGCAUGGUUGUCGUCAGCUCGUGUCGUGAGAUGUUGGGUUAAGUCCCGCAACGAGCGCAACCCUUAAGCUUAGUUGCCAUCAUUAAGUUGGGCACUCUAAGUUGACUGCCGGUGACAAACCGGAGGAAGGUGGGGAUGACGUCAAAUCAUCAUGCCCCUUAUGAUUUGGGCUACACACGUGCUACAAUGGACAAUACAAAGGGCAGCGAAACCGCGAGGUCAAGCAAAUCCCAUAAAGUUGUUCUCAGUUCGGAUUGUAGUCUGCAACUCGACUACAUGAAGCUGGAAUCGCUAGUAAUCGUAGAUCAGCAUGCUACGGUGAAUACGUUCCCGGGUCU